RNAcentral lists this ribosomal RNA (484 nucleotides) under uncultured bacterium. RNAcentral describes it as "partial 16S ribosomal RNA". It matches the Rfam family "Bacterial small subunit ribosomal RNA", at positions 30 to 507 of the family's 1533-position model. The record is from RNAcentral.
AUUGAACGCUGGCGGCAGGCCUAACACAUGCAAGUCGAGCGGAUGAAGGGAGCUUGCUCCUGGAUUCAGCGGCGGACGGGUGAGUAAUGCCUAGGAAUCUGCCUGGUAGUGGGGGAUAACGUCCGGAAACGGGCGCUAAUACCUCAUACGUCCUGAGGGAGAAAGUGGGGGAUCUUCGGACCUCACGCUAUCAGAUGAGCCUAGGUCGGAUUAGCUAGUUGGUGGGGUAAAGGCCUACCAAGGCGACGAUCCGUAACUGGUCUGAGAGGAUGAUCAGUCACACUGGAACUGAGACACGGUCCAGACUCCUACGGGAGGCAGCAGUGGGGAAUAUUGGACAAUGGGCGAAAGCCUGAUCCAGCCAUGCCGCGUGUGUGAAGAAGGUCUUCGGAUUGUAAAGCACUUUAAGUUGGGAGGAAGGGCAGUAAGUUGAUACCUUGCUGUUUUGACGUUACCAACAGAAUAAGCACCGGCUAACUUCGUG